AAUUUACAUUAAAAAAUAAAAAAAUAUUGGCUUAAUUGUGGUCAAAGAUUGAAAAAUUUGAAUCUUGAUAUGCAUGUGGGCCUUAUAAACAGGAACGGAGGGAGUAACGAUGAUAUUUAGCAAUUGAUGGGCACAUUUAUCGUUUAAAUGGUAUGGCUUGUAUGCCUUGGUAACAACAACUAAUGAAACUUUGCAUUGUGUGUGAACAAUUUAAACUAUAAAUUAAGUGUUAUCACAAAAUGAAAUUAAUGUAUUGGAAAUACGAAAUGCCCAUUGAUGUGUAUUGGAAAUCGUGAAAUGAAAUUAAUGUAUUGGAAAAAGCGUGAUGAUGUGACAAUCAUGGAGAAAUUUGAGGACCGCUUUAUGAUUUUACACUACUUUGCGGGGGCCAGUUGUCAAUAAGGGUAGUGUCCGUUUAUAUUAUUACCCCACUCUCUUCCCUUGUUCGAGUAAGCUACUUCUACAUUCUUGCAACCACCUAAAAAACCCUAGUCUUGUAGCGCACCUCUUCCUCUCCCC
This 519-nucleotide long non-coding RNA is filed under the name Setaria viridis. Its description in RNAcentral is "long non-coding RNA (SVIR_LNC003279)". The record is from RNAcentral. Lineage: Eukaryota; Viridiplantae; Streptophyta; Magnoliopsida; Poales; Poaceae.